Molecule: non-coding RNA, 74 nt
Organism: Pangasius djambal
Lineage: Eukaryota; Metazoa; Chordata; Actinopteri; Siluriformes; Pangasiidae
Source: the annotation of a GenBank genome assembly
GGCAGUGGUAGCUCAGUGGUCAAGAUAUAGGACUACUGCUCAGAAGGUCAUAAGUUCAAACCCUAGCACUGCCA